AUUAAAGCGGUACGCGAGCUGGGUUCAGAGCGUCGUGAGACAGCUCGGCCUCUAUCCUGUGUCAGCGUUGGAUUCUUGAAGGAGCUUGUUUCUAGUACGAGAGGACCGAAAUGAGGCAAUCCCUAGUGUUCCUGUUGUCGCCGUCAGGCGCAGCGCAGGGUAGCUACAUUGCUGUUGGAUAACCGCUGAAAGCAUCUAAGCGGGAAGCCGUCCCUAAGAUGAAGAAUCCCCAUUAAACUGGUCGGAGAUGACGACCUUGAUAGGCAGCCGGUGUAAGCCUGGUAACAGGUUAAGCCUAGCUGUACUAAUGCUUGAUUGA
This 319-nucleotide ribosomal RNA is filed under the name Candidatus Cerribacteria bacterium 'Amazon FNV 2010 28 9'. Its description in RNAcentral is "bacterial LSU rRNA". It matches the Rfam family "Bacterial large subunit ribosomal RNA", at positions 2587 to 2925 of the family's 2925-position model. The record is from RNAcentral. Lineage: Bacteria; Candidatus Cerribacteria.